AAUUAUUUUAUUUUUUGCUACAAAUAUCUAUGAAAGAGUUGUAGUUUAUGUGAGUGUUUUCUAGGAGAACCUGUGACCUCACGGUUCAUGAGUUAAUACAUUUGUUCUGGCUAUUAAAUCGUAACUGAAUAUUAAUGCAACAUUUCAAAUACUAUAAUCUGAAGGCUUUUGUAAAAACAGUAUUUUUGUAUUGUACCAUGGGACUGUAGUUAUAAAAUGAGAAAGCACAAUGUGUUCAAAAUAUUGAAGUUCUUGACCUCCUGCUGAGCAUUUGAUAUCGAAAUAUACUUAGUUAUAGACUUUGAAAUUGAUGCCCCUUUUCAUUCUGGAUUGAAUUUGCACCUUUGCUACAGUAAUUUCACUUUGCAUCUCUGCACAUAAUUAUUUUGAGACUGAUUCAACAGGGGAACAAUAAAGACAGACUUCUGCCUGAACAUCAGACAGUAUUAUUUUAAUGAAACUUGAAAGUUUGAGGGACUAAAGCAAUAAACACUGCAAAAUGCCCAAACCAGGACUUCAGGCAGACAUUUUUUUGGUUGUUUGUUACCCCAGCAGUAUUUGGAGCUAUAUUUCUGUAAAGUGAGGUAUAAGUGUAAAAGACAGCAGAGCUUUGGCCUCUGUGAUCACUCCUGCAGCAGAGCAAGGAAUCCUGUAUCAAGCAUCCAUCACCUGCAGCCUCCAAGCUCUUGACUGCUGAUAGGGACACCUGAAUAAGGAAAUGCAGCAAGGGUGUAAGAAAGACUUAUAUCUCCCUAAUCCUAAACUCAGUAUCAAUUUCUCCUUAUGUAUUCGUUCUGCUGAGGACUCUUAAUUAACUCCCAAGGCAAAUGAACUGAAGAAGGUGACUGGCUCUUUUCAUUCUGCCCUGAAUCAUCACUGUCAUAAGCAGCCACAAUCUUUUGCUCUGUGAAUAUUUGCUUAAGAGGCUGUGGUCUUGUUCUAAGUCAUUUAAGAAAUGAACAAAGGAACAACUUAUAUGGGAGAUUAAUGAGUGUAAGGGACUUUGGUAAUAUGGUGACACACCCCCAGUUAUCUGGCCACUGCAGGCACCUCAGCUGUGAAGAUGGAAGAGAAGAAGUAAUCCCUACGAACGGCAGCUGA
This 1101-nucleotide long non-coding RNA is filed under the name Zonotrichia albicollis (white-throated sparrow). RNAcentral describes it as "lncRNA (ENSZALG00000016440.1)". The record is from RNAcentral. Lineage: Eukaryota; Metazoa; Chordata; Aves; Passeriformes; Passerellidae.